GACAGGCAUGUGGCGCACGCCUGUAGUUCCAGCUGCUCUGGAGGCUGAGGCAGGAUGAUCGCUUGAGCCCAUAGGUUCUGGAAUAUACCCAUUGGGUUUCCACACUAAGUUUGGCAUCAGUAUGGUGACCUUCUGGAGCAGGAGACCACCAGGUUGCCUAAGGAGAAGUGAACUGGCUUAGGUUGGAAACAACAGGUCAAAACUCCUGUGGCUGAUCAGUAGUGGAUUUGCACUCCAGCCUUGGCAACCUAGCAAGACCCAAUCUCU
Molecule: signal recognition particle RNA, 267 nt
Filed under: Cercocebus atys (sooty mangabey)
Lineage: Eukaryota; Metazoa; Chordata; Mammalia; Primates; Cercopithecidae
Description: Metazoan signal recognition particle RNA (ENSCATG00000021329.1)
Rfam family: Metazoan signal recognition particle RNA
About the family: The signal recognition particle (SRP) is a universally conserved ribonucleoprotein. It is involved in the co-translational targeting of proteins to membranes.
Source: RNAcentral